GUACAGCUGAUGCAGUGGUCAGAGUGCUGGACUAAGGCUCUAGGAGACCAAGGUUCAAAUCCCUGCUUGGUCA
Molecule: non-coding RNA, 73 nt
Organism: Phrynosoma platyrhinos (Desert horned lizard)
Lineage: Eukaryota; Metazoa; Chordata; Lepidosauria; Squamata; Phrynosomatidae
Source: the annotation of a GenBank genome assembly